AUUGAACGCUGGCGGCAGGCCUAACACAUGCAAGUCGAGCGGCAGCGGAAGGAAGCUUGCUUCCUUGCCGGCGAGCGGCGGACGGGUGAGUAAGGUAUGGGGCUCUGGCCGCAGGCGGGGGAUAACCACUGGAAACGGUGGCAAAUACCGCAUAUUCUCUAAGGAGAAAAGUGGGGGACCGUUCAGGCCUCACACCUUCGGAUGAAUCCAUAUGAGAUUAGCUAGUAGGUGGGGUAAUGGCUCACCUAGGCGACGAUCUCUAGCUGGUCUGAGAGGAUGAUCAGCCACACUGGAACUGAGACACGGCCCAGGCUCCUACGGGAGGCAGCAGUGGGGAAUAUUGCACAAUGGGCGCAAGCCUGAUGCAGCCAUGCCGCGUGUAUGAAGAAGGCCUUCGGGUUGUAAAGUACUUUCAGUCGUGAGGAAGGUGUUAAGGUUAAUAACCUUAGCAAUUGACGUUAGCGACAGAAGAAGCACCGGCUAACUCCGUGCCAGCAGCCGCCGUAA
This 507-nucleotide ribosomal RNA is filed under the name uncultured bacterium. Its description in RNAcentral is "partial 16S ribosomal RNA". It matches the Rfam family "Bacterial small subunit ribosomal RNA", at positions 30 to 523 of the family's 1533-position model. The record is from RNAcentral.